CACAUUUUAUGCAGAGCUAGACCGCCACAGUUUUCACCUGAUGACUUUAUAUCGACAGAGAGCAGCGAAGACUGGAAAAACUGCUGAUGCACUUGCUGAAUUUCUUCGGGUUUAUGACUGAAAGGAUCAACAUGAUGUACACACAAGGCGAACAACAGUGCUCUGUGCACUUCCUGUGUAUCUGAGAGAAGACACCUCAAAAUUCUUUAAAACAUGCACGAUUGAAGAUGAUUCAGAAGAGCCAGAUGUUGAUUCAUCAAGUUGCCUAUAGUUGCCCGUUUGACAGUCGUCCGAGAACGCCCAGACAUUGCUGUUCAGUACAAUCCAGAGAAGAUUUCGGUCAUCCUUGAGAAUGAAGUUGUCAUAACAAACCUUCAGAGACUCUCUGAUGCUUUCCUUUUGAUGUUUGGCUUAAUCUAUGCAUUGGAUCUCUCAUAUCCAAAAGAGAUGGCCAACACAUUUGAGUUUAUUCAGAAGGUUCUUUUGGGUCUUGAUGAUGGCAAACUUAAGCCAAGGGUGCUGGCUCUAAAGAAUGACUUGCUGAUUCAUGCACAGUAAUUUUAUACUGUUGUCUUUGACCAGGUGUGCCUUUUUGUUGCACAGAACUGUUGUCACAGUUCUUGUUGGC
Labeo rohita (rohu) is the source of this 628-nucleotide long non-coding RNA. RefSeq lists it as uncharacterized. Lineage: Eukaryota; Metazoa; Chordata; Actinopteri; Cypriniformes; Cyprinidae. The record is from RefSeq and is a predicted model, not a curated record. The transcript is spliced from 3 exons.